This is a non-coding RNA of Callithrix jacchus (white-tufted-ear marmoset), 1451 nucleotides long. The record is from RefSeq and is a predicted model, not a curated record. Lineage: Eukaryota; Metazoa; Chordata; Mammalia; Primates; Cebidae.
UGAUGAAUAAAUGGUGGGUAAAUACAUAAGUGGGUGGGUGACGGGAUGAAUGGAUGACGGCUAGAUAGACAAGUAGAUGGAUAGAUGGAUGCGUAGGUAGACAGAGCUGUGGGUUGAUGGAUGAAUGCUAGGUAGAUAAAUAAAUGGGUGGGUGAUAAGAUGGAUGAUGGAUAGACAAGUAGAUGGACAGAUGGAUGGGUAGGUAGAUAGAUGGGUGGGUCGAUGGAUGAAUGGUAGGGUAGAUGGGUGGAUAGAUGGGUGGAUGGACGGUUGGUAGGGUAGGUAUAUAAAUGGAUGGAUGAAUAGAUAGAUGGAUAGAUGAAUGGAUGGAUCCAUCCACCAUUUCAGGCUAGAUCAGAAACUGCGGGCUUCCACAGAGACCCGUAAAAACCUACUUACUGCUGGAGCCACCUCUGUGGGGUGAAAAUGGACUGCAUGGUUUGUUAGCAAACGUACUCUUGACUUUAAAUGCAAUCCCCUGAGGCCGGGUCUCCAGCUAUGAGGAGGGUGAUGCUUGCGGGUCCCCCGUCCCCUUCACUGUGGAAAUGGAGCCUCUCCUUGGGGUGCAGUUGCUGAAUCAGGUGGAGGUGGGCUCCUGGGGGUGAGGGUUCUCCUCCCUGGAGUAGUUCAGCAGAAGGCGAACUCCGCAGACACACGCCCCCCACACCACGGUCCAACCAGAGGCUUGGUGAGUGGGUUGGAACCCACAAGCCUUUGGGACCUGAGGGUUCCCUGAGUACCUGCCCAUCAGUACUUAGAGAAGCAUCCGUGUUCUUGUCAGUGGACCUUCUGCAGAGUCAGGACAGGGCAAGGCAGCCUUCAGGAAGCGUGAGCCCAGCCCUGAGCAUCCCUCCCAGAAGAAGAGUUUCCAGUCAGAAGGAGGAGCCAGCAGGUGGUGGAGGGAUCCAGGAGAGAGUGCUGUGGGCGCCCGAGAAUGAGACGGGACCAGGACACGGAGGCGGCCAUCAGACUGUUCGUAAAUAGAUGGAAACCCGAUCUCCAACGCUGACCUCACUUCUUACAGUGUCUAAACCUCACAGCAUCCUGCCGUCCUGCCGUCUGAGUCUGCAGUGAGCGGCCAACACCGAGCCCCUCCACCACCCCGGUGCUGCUCACCACAAGUGAACCUGAGCAACGCCUGCAGGCUGGCCUCUGGAGCUCAGCUACAGCCCGAGGGCCAGGAGUCACCUGAGUCCUCGUGGUCUGUGUUGGUCUGGGAGCUGGCAGGGCAGGAGGGGAAAGCCCAGCGGGUGGGGAAGUGGCUGCAGCCCUCACCCCCUCCUCCAAGUCCUGGCUCAAUGCAGUUAGACCUGGGCCUGGGAGCUCAGCUCCAACACGAUUUACAAUUCAAUUGUGAAAUGGGAUAAAAAUGAGAUAUCCCUCUUCGGGCCUCUCAAUUUUCUCUGUUAAAGCUCCCGUUCCUCCUAGUAAAUUUCUCUAUUUCUAGAUGA